ACGCUCGACACCUACUGGAGGCAGCAGUGGGGAAUAUUGCACAAUGGGGGAAACCCUGAUGCAGCGACGCCGCGUGAGCGAAGAAGUAUUUCGGUAUGUAAAGCUCUAUCAGCAGGGAAGAAAAUGACGGUACCUGACUAAGAAGCCCCGGCUAACUACGUACCAGCAGCCGCGGUAAUCUGAGCGGGCUGGCAAGGC
Molecule: ribosomal RNA, 198 nt
Filed under: uncultured bacterium
Lineage: Bacteria
Description: partial 16S ribosomal RNA
Rfam family: Bacterial small subunit ribosomal RNA
Source: RNAcentral